Molecule: long non-coding RNA, 4098 nt
Organism: Gambusia affinis (western mosquitofish)
Lineage: Eukaryota; Metazoa; Chordata; Actinopteri; Cyprinodontiformes; Poeciliidae
Exons: 3
Source: RefSeq, a predicted model, not a curated record
CCAAAGAUUCAAUCCAGGUGUGGCAGAAGGGAAACACCUAAAACAUGCAGGCAGGGGGCCUGAGGACCGGAAUUGAGAAACACUGACUUAGAACAUAUCUGUAUUUUUACAGACUGUGUGCUGAUGGCCACACCUUCGCCAAAGCAGCCGAGGCACAAAUUGAGGUAGAAAGGAUACCGCCAAUCUUACAGAUGCCUUUGCAUGUGCUUGAAGCUAUUCUCCAGGAGGUGAUACUGGCACAGGGAGACACAGCUUAUCUCACUUUGGCAUUGACAUGCAAGUCCUUUGAAGCCAUUGUGUCUCAGCCUGUUUUCCAGAAGAAGACUCAUUUUGCUUGGCUGGACGGUGAGGACCUUUGACUUUUUUCACCUAAAACAUGUGAAAUUAGAUUGUUACUACAUGAAAUCAAUUUUUCAUUAACAGGUGAGAUCAACUGGGGCAAAUUUUCAAAAACAUUCAAGGCAAAAAACUGGACUCCUUUUGCUGUUGUGACAUGUUCUUCCUGCAACCAGCAAUAUAAAGACUGUGUGGGAUUCACUGGAAAUGGAAGACAAGGAGAGUUCCCUCGUUACUACUGUGAUGUACCUGGACUUUGCCCUGAGUGCCAACAUUGAAUUCAAAGAGAAUAUAAGUUGCUUUCCACAAUCUGUCACAUAUUGUUAGUUUUUUUUGUGACAUGUCAUUUGAAAUCGUUUCUGAUAAAGAAUAUUUAAGUUGUGCAGUCAUCCUUUUUCAUAAUGUGUUCUUUCAAUAUUAUUUACAUUUUUGAAUGUUCCUUUUGUUGUAGCUCAGUUGAUUUACAUUAUUUAGUUUUCAUAGAAAUGGUGUCGUUUCCACACAAAGUUACAUUGUGGCUUUAAUUUGUUGGAGAGACAGUAAAACCAAUAAAGCAGUUGUAAAUACAGCGUUGUUUAACUAUUGGAUAACCUUGUUGGAAAAUUUUAAAUGCAAGCAAAGCUAAUAACUUGCAAUAUACAGUGUUUCCUAUACAUUUUUGAACAAUGACUGGAAUCAAUAUAAAUUUUCUUUACAAACCUGACAUACAGACAAGUUGUUUAUGUUUUAACAGUCAGAAUCAACUUGUUUUUUUUUUAUAAAAAAUAAGUUGCAGAAACAUAUUGUUCAGAUGCAAACAUAAGAUUAAACAAGCAAAGCGAAGGUGUAAUCAGGGUGGAGGUGAUGGAAGCUCAGGUGAGGAGCAGUUGCACACAUCAAGCUGGACUUUAUGAAGGGUGGAGGACAUGAGACCGGCGCCGUUAGGCUGGGAGGGAGGCACCUGAUCAGGUGAUUGGCUGAGCAGGUGAGAUGAAGACAGUUAUAGUUAGAAAUUACACAUUGGUUUAAUUUAUGUAUCCAGUGACUUUAUUCAUAAAGGUUUUCAUGUAGAAAAAAGAUGAUUCUCUGGUGGUUACCAGCACAGUGUCUACUACCGGGAUCAGAGCGCCGAAGAUUAUUGUCAAAUGAAAUUUCUAAAAUCUACUUUCUCUGCAAGUCUUUCCAGGUUGAAGCUACGUUUAAGUUUUUAAUUAAUCACUUUGGGUUUUGCAACAAUUGGAUAUUCAUGUUUUUGGAGUGCAGAUUAUGAACUUAUUGCAAUUGAUAAAAUUAAUAUGGUAUUUCUAAAUGGAAUAGUGGGACACCAGUCAGUUUACUGGUUGAGCUGGAGUCCUUAUAGGAGACAUUAUGCUGAACUAUGAUAAUUGAUCCAGGUCACCUGCAGCCAAGAAUAUUCUAGUUACAGAAUGUCACUUGUUAGAAGUUCAGAAGUCCUUUGGUUUGUUUGUAAAUUAUAUUCACAAUGAGAAUAAUAAGAAAAAUAUUUGGCAAAUAAACAACAAAAGUGCACCGUGAAUGGAUGUACUAAGUUGGCCAAAAUUGUUGAGUAAAUGUUUUACUGACCAAACCUCUUUUCCAUCUAGUUCUUAAUAAAUAAGCCAAAGGCUGUUAUAUUUUAGAUUUUAACUUAUUUAUUUUAAGAGUACCAUUCACGACAUCAAAAUAUAUUAUUUGAACUUCAGCACCAGCAAGUAUUUGUUUAUAUCUGUUUUCUUAAUCAGCGAUGGACUGGGGAUCUGUCCAGGGUCAGCAGCCUUCAUGACCCCACUUGAGGAUAAUUCAUAAAAAUUAAUGGAUGGAUAAAUGUGCUCUUAAUGUAAUGUACAUUUGUCUCCAAAAUAUUGAUUUUAUUUUAUUUUUUAUGACUUUUGUUAGAGAUAUAUAGGAUGUAAGGAUAGAUAAAUACAUCUACAUAAUGAUUCCUUAUUGUUGCUUAUUUUAUAUUGUUUGUUACUAAUAUAAUUUUAAAUAAAGAUUUAAAAAUUAAAAGGGACAUACCACGUGACAGACAUGCCACGUGACAUAUCACGUUUUGUAGCCAUUUCUUUACUGUUAAAUUUGUAUUUUUAAUGUUGAAAGUGUUCUUGGGUGUUUUGAAAGGCGUUGUCAAAUAAAAUACGUUAUUAUUAUUAUAAUUAUUAUUAAACGGUCGGUACAGGAAAUAGUGUCACUAGCGCCCCCUUCAGUUCCGGAAUGAAAUGGUCCCAUUUCCAUAUAAGGUAUGAGACUGACAGUGGUCCGUCCCCGCCCCUUUCUGUUUGCUGCAGCGAAGUGUACUUCAGCCUGUCUGCCGCGCUCCGAACGAAACAACCGCCAGCUGUUAAAAAGGGGCGGGACGAUCAACCCCAUUGGCCGACACGAAACCAGACCGUGCCAGCCAUUGGCUGCCUAAUCUGUCAAUAGAAGCUAACGCUAAAAGCAUAUUUCACAUUUUUUUUGAAGAUUUACGUAAUUAUCUUUUAGCUAUUUUGGUAGAAUAAGACAUUGAAUCAACAUCUAUUAUUUUUUUCUUGUGUUUUUAAACACUGGGUUACACUAGUCAUACGGUUCAGAAAGGAAACAGGUUCUGUUUGUUCUGUUGUGGGUGGAAAACCAAACCUGAGGAUCAAGUGAAGAUGCUGGCUGGAGCUGCUGACAGUUCUGAGUUCACUAAAGGUCACUCAGCUGGGAAGAAGCCACUACGCUCAACGCAGCUUCAAAUGCAAGAUUACAGUUUGCAAAUCAGAAUGUAGUUUUGGUAUUGUUCAUGUGUGGAUCGAGUAAAUUAAAAUGUUUCCAGACUCUUUCUGUUUUCCUGGUGUGUAAAACUCUGACAUUUUCCAAAAACAGUUUCUCAAGAAAGUGAAAUAACUUUCAGGCUGAUCAUUUGUAACAGACGGUGAAAUGGACCAGAAAGCCUCCUGUUGUCCACUGUAAUGUGGUUUUUCUGACCACCAUCAAUUGGCCAUGUUCAUGUUUGGAAACAAAGUCAAUAUUUGUGACAUUACCUAAAUUUACAGGUAAAAAACAUCACUGAGUUUUUCUCAACAGUAGCAAUCACUGAAAGUCCCGGACCCGGCGACAGCCUGCGUGUAUAUAAAGGGACACUAGAGCCCACAAAAGACCCCUGGAGGAGUAAAAAAAGGUCUUCUGUAAUGAAAAAAUAACAGUUUUUUAAGCUGGUCGUGUUCAUUUGUAACUUGUCGCUUAUCAUAUGAGUUGUUUUGAAACCUCAGUGGUUUCCUGUUCUACCAGUUCAUUUCUGCAUCUGAUUCUGAUAAAUGAAGGUAAAAAGAAUUAAUAUGUAAAACAUUAUUACAUUAACAUUAUGUACUCAGGACUGACAGCUGUUAUUCACUCUAGUGAGUCUGGAAAAAUAAUAUGCCACUAGUAUUGUUAGGAUGUCUUAGUUUAAGCUCUUACAUCGACCUUUUGGACUGAACAAAACCUCUGCUCUCUUAUUCAUGCAUGAAACUAAAAAGCUUAACAGUGUUUAAAAGCAUUUUUAAAGAGCUUGCUGUAUCAGGUGCUGCAGAUGUCAGAAGAAAAGUUACUAUUUCUGUUUUAGAUUAGAAUAAAACAUUCACAAACAAUUUAGACAUUAAAACAUCUUUAAACUUUCCAGAAGACAGGUGCAGACGAUCGAUUCAGUUAGUUGUUUGAAAAUCGAUGUUUCCUUUUAUCUAACCUUAUAUUUUUUAAGGUUAGAUAAAUCUGUCCUUACUAUUCAGUCUUUUACACCUGGCAGUAAAGGACAUUUCUGUUCACUUUUUCUAAUCUUUG